This 574-nucleotide ribosomal RNA is filed under the name Meyerozyma caribbica. Its description in RNAcentral is "eukaryotic LSU rRNA". It matches the Rfam family "Eukaryotic large subunit ribosomal RNA", at positions 29 to 627 of the family's 3401-position model. Lineage: Eukaryota; Fungi; Ascomycota; Pichiomycetes; Serinales; Debaryomycetaceae. The record is from RNAcentral.
UGAAAUUCCCAUAGCGGAGGAAAAGAAACCAACAGGGAUUGCCUUAGUAGCGGCGAGUGAAGCGGCAAAAGCUCAAAUUUGAAAUCUGGCACCUUCGGUGUCCGAGUUGUAAUUUGAAGAUUGUAACCUUGGGGUUGGCUCUUGUCUAUGUUUCUUGGAACAGGACGUCACAGAGGGUGAGAAUCCCGUGCGAUGAGAUGCCCAAUCCUAUGUAAGGUGCUUUCGAAGAGUCGAGUUGUUUGGGAAUGCAGCUCUAAGUGGGUGGUAAAUUCCAUCUAAAGCUAAAUAUUGGCGAGAGACCGAUAGCGAACAAGUACAGUGAUGGAAAGAUGAAAAGAACUUUGAAAAGAGAGUGAAAAAGUACGUGAAAUUGUUGAAAGGGAAGGGUUUGAGAUCAGACUCGAUAUUUUGUGAGCCUUGCCUUCGUGGCGGGGUGACCCGCAGCUUAUCGGGCCAGCAUCGGUUUGGGCGGUAGGAUAAUGGCGUAGGAAUGUGACUUUGCUUCGGUGAAGUGUUAUAGCCUGCGUUGAUGCUGCCUGCCUAUGACCGAGGACUGCGAUUUAUCAAGGACGCG